ACACCUCAACUCUCAUGGUUUGCCAUGAUGAGCUUGGACUUUGGGGGUCUUGCCGGCCUAUGGGUCGGCUCCUCUCAAAUUAAUCAGCUUGCCAGUGUUUGGUGGCAUCACAGGUGUGAUAACUAUCUACGCUUGUGGUUUUCCAUCAGGUAACCUUCAGUGAUGGAGGUUCGCUGGGGCUCAUAAAUGUCUCUCCUCAGUGAGGACGGCUUUUUUGAAC
Molecule: unclassified non-coding RNA, 220 nt
Filed under: uncultured Tomentella
Lineage: Eukaryota; Fungi; Basidiomycota; Agaricomycetes; Thelephorales; Thelephoraceae
Description: sequence contains ITS2
Source: RNAcentral